RNAcentral lists this ribosomal RNA (668 nucleotides) under uncultured fungus. RNAcentral's name for it is "eukaryotic LSU rRNA". It matches the Rfam family "Eukaryotic large subunit ribosomal RNA", at positions 24 to 664 of the family's 3401-position model. Lineage: Eukaryota; Fungi. The record is from RNAcentral.
CCCGCUGAACUUAAGCAUAUCAAUAAGCGGAGGAAAAGAAACUAACAAGGAUUCCCCUAGUAACUGCGAGUGAAGCGGGAAAAGCUCAAAUUUAAAAUCUGGCGGUCUUGCGGCCGUCCGAGUUGUAAUCUGGAGAAGCGUUUAUCCGCGUCGGACCGUGUACAAGUCUUCUGGAAGGGAGCGUCGUAGAGGGUGAGAAUCCCGUCUUUGACACGGACAACCGGUGCUUUUGUGAUGCGCUCUCGAAGAGUCGAGUUGUUUGGGAAUGCAGCUCAAAAUGGGUGGUAAAUUCCAUCUAAAGCUAAAUAUUGGCGAGAGACCGAUAGCGAACAAGUACCGUGAGGGAAAGAUGAAAAGCACUUUGGAAAGAGAGUUAAACAGUACGUGAAAUUGUUGAAAGGGAAACGUUUGAAGUCAGUCGCGUCGGCCGAGACUCAACCUUGCUUCUGCUCGGUGCACUUCUCGGUUGACGGGUCAGCAUCAAUUUUGACCGCCGGAUAAAGGUCGGGGGAAUGUGGCAUCCUUCGGGAUGUGUUAUAGUCUCUCGUCGCAUGCGAGGGUCGGGAUUGAGGAACUCAGCACGCGCCCUCGGGCGUCGGGGCUUUCGCCCACGAUACGUGCUUAGGAUGUUGGCGUAAUGGCUUUAAACGACCCGUCUUGAAACACGG